ACACUCCUGCGGGAGGCAGCAGUGGGGAAUUUUACGCAAUGGGGGAAACCCUGACGUAGCGACACCGCGUGAGCGAAGAAGCCCUUUGGGGUGUAAAGCUCUGUCAGCUGGAACGAAAACAAUGACGGUACCAGCAGAGGAAGCAUCGGCUAACUACGUGCCAGCAGCCGCGGUAAGACGUAGGAUGCGAGCGUUGUCCGGAUUUAUUGGGCGUAAAGAGUUCGUAGGUGGUUUGUUAAGUUUGGUGUUAAAGAUCGGGGCUCAACCCUGGGACUGCACUGAAUACUGGCAGACUCGAGUGUGGUAGAGGCUAGUGGAAUUCCCAGUGUAGCGGUGAAAUGCGUAGAUAUUGGGAAGAACACCGGUGGCGUAGGCGACUAGCUGGGCCAUAACUGACGCUGAGGAACGAAAGCCAGGGGAGCGAAUGGGAUUAGAUACCCUAGUAGUCCC
RNAcentral lists this ribosomal RNA (450 nucleotides) under uncultured organism. RNAcentral describes it as "partial 16S ribosomal RNA". It matches the Rfam family "Bacterial small subunit ribosomal RNA", at positions 333 to 797 of the family's 1533-position model. The record is from RNAcentral.